Molecule: long non-coding RNA, 791 nt
Organism: Passer domesticus (house sparrow)
Lineage: Eukaryota; Metazoa; Chordata; Aves; Passeriformes; Passeridae
Exons: 2
Source: RefSeq, a predicted model, not a curated record
GGCGGGGCCGCGCCUGCGCAUAAUGAAAAAACGGGCGUGGUUUGCGCUGCAUAUAAUAAGGAUGGGCGUGGUCAGCGCUGUUCCUGGGUGUGGGAAACGCUCCCAGGUGAGCGCCCUCCUCCACUCCAAGUGCCCUCCAACAUGAUGUCCUACACGACGUGUGGAAUGAAACCCCACCUUUUUUUCCCUCUCCUUCCAUUAAGAAAAAUCAGCCUUGACACCAGAAAAAAGCAAUUUGGAAAGAAGCCACCAUCCCUUCUCCCGCCCUCUGAUUCCCUGCCUUGUGAUGCAACUGGUGCCAGGCAGAAAUUCACCUUCCCGUAAUCUUCAGGGAAUCAACAGAUGGCAGCAGGAAGAUGGGAGGGACAGCUUUUGCAACUGGUGGAUUGUUGAUGCCCAGAAAAUAAGUCCCCAUCACUGAGGCUGAUCCCGAAGCAACUUGUUGGGACACGCCUUAAUCCAGGUGUUAUCAGGACAAUGCGAAACCAGCGGCCCUCACUCCAAACCCUCUGUUCUUCUUGGGGAUGUGUAUCCGUGCCAGUUUCAUUGUGCAAUUCCCAAUCUCUCGAGGUUUGUUUUUCCAGAUGGAGUAAAUGUGUGGUUUUUGGAGGUUCAGCGUUGACACCCCACGGAGGAACAACCAGCGAACCACAGAACAUAAAACCAGACACAAACCAAAGGGUUUUUUUCCCCAAAAAAUGAUACUUUUACUUUUUUCUAGUCCAGCUGGUGGAUUUUCUUAAAUGGAGACAUGCUCCAAGACAAAAAAAAAAAAAAAAAAAACCACAAAA